Molecule: non-coding RNA, 126 nt
Organism: Triticum aestivum (bread wheat)
Lineage: Eukaryota; Viridiplantae; Streptophyta; Magnoliopsida; Poales; Poaceae
Source: Rfam
CAUGUACUCCCUCCGUCCGAAAAUACCUGUCGUGAAAAUGGAUGUAUCUAGACGUAUUUUAGUUUUUAAAUACAUCCAAUUUUAUCUGUUUGUGCGACAAGUAUUUCCGGACGGAGGAAGUAGGCG